RNAcentral lists this ribosomal RNA (301 nucleotides) under uncultured bacterium. RNAcentral's name for it is "partial 16S ribosomal RNA". It matches the Rfam family "Bacterial small subunit ribosomal RNA", at positions 509 to 807 of the family's 1533-position model. The record is from RNAcentral.
CAGCCGCCACGGUAAUACGAAGGGUGCAAGCGUUAAUCGGAAUUACUGGGCGUAAAGCGUGCGUAGGCGGUGAGUUAAGUCUGUUGUGAAAUCCCCGGGCUCAACCUGGGAAUGGCAAUGGAUACUGGCAAGCUAGAGUGUGUCAGAGGAUGGUGGAAUUUCCGGUGUAGCAGUGAAAUGCGUAGAGAUCGGAAGGAACAUCUGUGGCGAAGGCGACUAUCUGGGCCAACACUGACACUGAGGCACGAAAGCGUGGGGAGCAAACAGGAUUAGAGACCCCCGUAGUCCCUGUCUCUUAUAC